CAGUAGCCGCGGGAAUACGGGGGGGGCAAGUGUUAUUCGGAAUGACUGGGCGUAAAGGGCACGUAGGCGGUGAAAAGGGUGGAAAGUGAAAGUCGCCAAAACACUGGCGGGGUGCUUUCUUGACCAUUUCACUUGAGUGAGAUAGGGGAGAGUGGAAUUUCGUGUGGAGGGAUCAAAUCCUAAGAUAUACGAAGGAACGCCAACCGCGAAGGCAGCUCUCUGGGUCCCCACUGACGCUGGGGUGCGAAAGCAUGGGGAGCAAACAGGAUCAGAUACCCGAGUAGUCCCUGUCUCUUAUACA
Molecule: ribosomal RNA, 301 nt
Filed under: uncultured bacterium
Lineage: Bacteria
Description: partial 16S ribosomal RNA
Rfam family: Bacterial small subunit ribosomal RNA
Source: RNAcentral